This is an RNA transcript of Liolophura sinensis, 2832 nucleotides long. RefSeq lists it as uncharacterized. The transcript has 4 exons. The record is from RefSeq and is a predicted model, not a curated record. NCBI's taxonomy places the organism in Eukaryota, Metazoa, Mollusca, Polyplacophora, Chitonida, Chitonidae.
GACAGAUCUAGGCCCGAGCAGAUGUAAACCCAGUUUGUGCCUAGUUCCUUCAGUUUUCAUCGGCAGUAUUUACAGAAAGACUGCAAAAGGCACCAAAGAAGCAAAAUUAUCGCAAAGACAUGUUCCCGAACAAUUUCCCUCCCAAUGGGUAUCCAGGAGGGUUCGACCCAUCCCAGCAGCCACACGCUCAGCCCCCACUAGUGUACCACUUCCGUGGUCUCCACAUCGAUGACUCUGGGCCGCACAGGUUAGGUAGAAGUGCCUUUGUCAUGCGCAGACAACCACAACGUGAUAACAGGGUUCAGCAAUACAACCCACCGCCUAACUGGGAACGGCGGAUGGUUUCAGGAAACCGAUCUCCUCGGCUGUUACGAGACAACGAACGUCUCUGCUUCAUUUGUGGGGAAGUGCUUCAAAAUUCUGUGGAACCAGGGGUCCACCUUUGCCCUGGCCCAAGAAACACACGCCCGAAUCAAAGCAACCAAUCUCGGGCAAGUUCCCCGCGAGAAGAUCUUGAUGUGCGCCACCUGGCGGAGAUGCUGGAGAGUCUCCGAAAGGCGCUUAAGAACACUGCGGCCAUCCAGACCUUGGGCUCUUGUGUCAAGAACCUUGAUGUACACACUAAAACUAUAGAUAAGGAGCUGGAGAAGCUCCAGAAGGACUACUGCAACCAAACUGACCUGACAUCUCGGAGAAUCCACCGUUGUAUGGUGACGGUGAGACAGAACAUGGCGGCCUGGAGGGUUCUGGUGCAGAAAGCGGCCGAAGAGACACAGAGACGAGAGGCCCUCGCCGGCGAGAAGGACAAGAGCCUGUGUCUCAGGGAGAAAGAGAUUCAGCAAGAAAAACUGGACAGUGAGGCAGAAAUAAAACGUCAGAUGCAGGAAUUGGAGGACGAGAAGCAGAGGCUAUCAGAACUGCACGAAACACAAAAGGUAUACGACCUACGUUUGUUUUCAAAGAUGACUUUGCAAAUCGGCUACAGUGAAUUAUUGUCCAAACUCAUACUACAGUAUGCAACAGGUGUGUUGGACUGUAACUCACAGUACAUACAAAAUCUAGGAUAUAAAAGGAUGAAGAGAAAACACGUUACGUGGACGUCAUUUAGUCUUGACAAGGACAGAUGUUGGCUUUCGGUUCGGAGAUAUGUUGAUAAAAAUAUGUUAUGUGGGCUUUCGGCUGGGAAGUAGUGUUCAAUGACGAGCGCGUAUAUAUAGGGCACAAAUCGUAAUCCAAAUGAUGUUCUACGUCUUAAAAUGUGUUAAGUGAAACAAAACUGCAGCCUGUAAAUAACUCCCUUAGAACUUCACCGUCAUGGUACACAGCAUAAGAACUUUGGGACGUAAUUUUGUCAUUUUGUUGGGAUUAUAUAAAUGCUAACUGUACAUGGUAACUUCGUUGGAAUAUGAUUUCUUUUACUCAGUCCAUUUGCGUUUUCCUCUAAACUAUGAAAUAUCGUACACGGAAAUGGUGGGAUGGUAGAACUGGUAUAGUUAACUAUACAAAUAUAUAGUCCAAGGUAAGGCAGGUAAGUAUAGUCUUUUAACCGUUCUGAAUUAUCAAAGUAUCAAUUAGGAUCACUUUUACACAAAAUAAUCAAAGAGCACUGGCAUAUUUCUGAAUAACGCUAUAAAGGGUUUCCACAAAUUGUAAAAGUGUUUUUUUUCCUUUGUGCAAAUUUGGGCAUUAAAAAUUAAUUUAGCAAACCACACUCACACAAGCUUAGGUGUCGCGCCUGUAAAAGCUGUUGCUACUUGGUCAGAUACCAUCCAUACAUACUUAUUUCAAGUCUCCUGAGUUCAAAUCACAUGAUAUUCACAUAAAGGAUACAUUAAUUAAUCUCGCUUUUCGAGAGCUGAUGGAAAACUAGGAUUCCGUUGGUGACUCUGUACAGACCGCAGUAGCAAUAGCCGGUUGAAUGGACCGUACAGCCGCGAAUCAAACAGGGCAGUGUGUGAAUGAGCUGUUUUAAUGUUUCCAACCACUUUUCUCCAAAGAGCCAGUUUUUGAAAGAUUUCAAGUAAGGAUUUAUCGAGACUUCCUCUGCCACUGAUGGGAAAAAUAAGGCCUUUUCCACUUCGACUUAGUUUAUUGUGACACAAAACAUUAAAUCGAGUCUAAACUCCAUAACAUCUUGAAAAACCUUUAUUCACAACUAGCUCUAUGAGGCUAUAUGCAGAGACUGUUUACGGUUGUUUUACGAAAUAUAAACCUAUUGGGCACAAUCAUAGGUUUCCAGCCGAUGGUACAUGUACUUCAUGUAAGUCCAAAAAAGUAUUAGAGUCAAAUACGACCCAUGGACUAUAGAAAUUAUGUUUCGUUCUGUGUCAGGGUGGGGGAGCUUGAUGGCAUCCGAUUCCGUAUUAGCUGAGACCGUACAAUACAGAGUCUUUCAAGAUCGUACGGAAAUCGUAGAGUAGGAGAAGGAAAGGCCUGGCCGUGUCAGUGGAGGAGUUGAUGUAAAAUUAGAACUGUUCUACAUGUAAUUGAUGCUGUCACUUAACUAUGUUUACGUUGGUAGGAUACAGGAGGAGGGUAACAAUUGUUAAACCCAUAUAAUUGCCCAUAAGUCAACAUUGACCCUGUCACCAUGUUAGGGCAAUAGACUUCCGUGGAGACGACGAAGAAUCCGCUAGCUUACAACAACAGAGGCAGUUUAAUUGCCAGAUGUCACCGGGCUUUUGUAUGGUGGAAGGGUCGUAUCAAGCUAGACGUGGGUGGAAAGAUCUUUACCACUUCCUUAUCCACUCUAACCAAAGACCCGGACUCGAUGUUGGCUGCCAUGUUUAGUGGGCGUCACGAGAUCGUGAAAGAACGAGAUGGCUGUGUGUU